Molecule: ribosomal RNA, 117 nt
Organism: Sinocyclocheilus rhinocerous
Lineage: Eukaryota; Metazoa; Chordata; Actinopteri; Cypriniformes; Cyprinidae
Source: Ensembl
GGCCACAGCCAUAUCACCCUGCAUCCCAAGACUGGUUGCCCAUUGAAACUAAGCAGGGCUGAGCCUGGUCUGUACCUUGAUGGGAGACCUCCUGGGAAAACUAGGUUGCUGUUGUAA